AGCCGUUCGAGACUAGGACGUUGAUAGGUCAGGUGUGUAAGCGUUGUGAGGCGUUGAGCUAACUGAUACUAAUGACUCGAGAGGCUUAACCAUACAACCCAGAUGGGUUUUG
Molecule: ribosomal RNA, 112 nt
Filed under: Shewanella xiamenensis
Lineage: Bacteria; Pseudomonadati; Pseudomonadota; Gammaproteobacteria; Alteromonadales; Shewanellaceae
Also listed under: 1 other name
Description: partial 23S ribosomal RNA
Rfam family: Bacterial large subunit ribosomal RNA (bases 1-93)
Source: RNAcentral